GAUUCCCUUUCUACAACUCAAACCCAUCUCAAUUAUACAAUGAAAACCCCCUAGGGAUCUG
This 61-nucleotide non-coding RNA is filed under the name Cavenderia fasciculata. Lineage: Eukaryota; Evosea; Eumycetozoa; Acytosteliales; Cavenderiaceae. The record is from Rfam by way of RNAcentral.